Long non-coding RNA from Cydia amplana, 280 nucleotides. RefSeq lists it as uncharacterized. The transcript has 2 exons. Lineage: Eukaryota; Metazoa; Arthropoda; Insecta; Lepidoptera; Tortricidae. The record is from RefSeq and is a predicted model, not a curated record.
UAGGGUUUUUUUCGCUUUAACCCUACAGUGUGGGAUAUCGUUGGAUAGGUCUUGCAAAACGAAUAGGGGUCUUCAACAAACAUUUUUUGAUAAAGUGGAUAUUUUCGGAAAUAAUCGCUCUGAAAAUGUGGUAAAAUGUGUCCCCCCCCCCCCUGUAACUUCUAAAAUAAGAGAAUGAUAAAACUAAAAAAAAUAUAUGAUGUACAUUAUCAUGCAAACUUCCACCGAAAAUUGGUUUGAAUGAGAUCUAGUAAGUAGUUUUUUUUUAAUACGUCAUAAA